UUUUUCAAUUUUUGUUUUCUUUUUCUUUUCCCAUGCCUUUUCUUUUUUCAUUUAUUAUCUGCUCAAGUUCAAGCCCCAUCCCUGUAUCUCUUUUACACCUUCGCAUCUCGUUCGUCCUCUCCCCCACUCUAUCAUCAACGAUGUCAGUCCGCUCAGUUUUAUCAGUUGCCUCAGAAACCCUAAACCUUACGCCGCUCGCAUCAAGAAAUUCCCUACAAAAUUCGUAGAUCUGGGCUAAGUUUGUAAGGAUUUUUUGUCCUCCUAACGGAAUCUGUCUAGAUAUGGAACACUCAACAACACUAUGAAUCGAAAAUUUAUAUGACUCUCCAAGGUUGAAGUAAUGAAAGCUAGUAUCAUGAGGUAGAAAUACGAUAAGAUCAGUGAGAAAAAGAUGUUAACACUAAUGGAGGUGGAUCGAAUGAAGAAAGAGUGGAUAAAAGCGGUGAAGACCCUGCUUAGAGUUAUGUGAUUGUUCCUGUAACAUUAGUGUAUUUGAAUAUUUUUGUAAUCUUCUUUAGGGAAAUUUUCUCAUUACUUUGAGAGCUAAUUAUGCAUGCUUUUGAAUUGUUAGAUAAUGUAAUACAAUUUACUUUUAUGUAAAAGUCUCAAAAAAUUAUUGCAAUAUCCUCUCCAUAAACAGUUGUCGUAG
Long non-coding RNA from Lycium ferocissimum, 649 nucleotides. RefSeq lists it as uncharacterized. The transcript is spliced from 4 exons. The record is from RefSeq and is a predicted model, not a curated record. Lineage: Eukaryota; Viridiplantae; Streptophyta; Magnoliopsida; Solanales; Solanaceae.